UGCGAUUGAGCCAUUGAGCGAUGGGCAGGGUUAACUGGACUUUUUCUCCUGCCUUGGGGGGGGGGGGGGGGGAUGUGGAUUCUUUUAAGAAUGUGGAUAUUUGGGUCAUCUUUGGCGCCCCCUAGAACGUAAACCAUGGGGUGCAGCGCCAUGAUUUUUACAAUUUUGAAUGGCCAUGGGAUGUAGAUCGGCUUGAGCAAAUUUCGUGUCGGUGGGAAGAAAGCCUUAGGAGGAGUUAGCCACAUUCCAAUGUGUGCGAAUCGGCAAAAAAUGCGAAAUAGCCCUUUAACCGUACAUUUUACAGAUACGUGCCCAUUGACUUUUUCGUAGAUCUUAUUGAGAUACACGUGUGUGUCAAAUUUUGUGUCAUUUUGACAAAGCGUAUAGGCGUGACAGUCAACAAUGUGUUUUUUCACCUUAGGGGACAAGAAAAAAUGGACUUUUUUCUCCUGCCAUGGGGGGGCGCUCUUUUCGGGAGUUAAAAUUCCUUUACAAAUGUGUUGAUGGCUGGACAUUGCAUCAUCCUAGAAAACUUGGAGGCCAGUGAGGACAAAAAUAAAAAGUUAUAAGACUAUUAAGAAUGUGGAUUUUUGGGUUAUCUUUGGCGCCCCCUAGAACCUAAACCGUGGAGUGCAGCGUCAUGAUUUGUACAACUUUUAAUGGCCAUGGGGUGUAGAUUGGCCUGAGCAAAUUUGGUGGCGGUGGAACGAAAGCCUUAGGAGGAGUUAGCGAAAUUCCAAUGUGUGCGGAUCGGGAAAAAAUGCGAAAUAACCCUUUAACCGUACAUUUUACAGAUACGUGCCCAUUGACUUUUUCGUAGAUCUUAUUGAGAUACACGUGAUUGUCAAAUUUUGGGUCAAUAUGACAAAGUGUAUAGGCGUGACACUCAACAAUGUGUAUUUUCACCUUAGGGGACAAGAAAAAAUGGACUUUUUUCUCCUGCCAUGGGGGGCGCUCUUUUGGGGAGUAAAAAUUCCUUCACAAAUGUGUUGAUGGCUGGACAUUGCAUCAUCCUAGAGAACUUGGAGGCCAGUGAGGACAAAAAUAAAAAGUUAUAAGACUUUUAAGACUGUGGAUUUUUGGGUUAUCUUUGGCGCCCCCUAGAACGUAGACUGUGGGGUGCAGCGUCAUGAUUUGUACAACUUUUAAUGGCCAUGGGGUGUAGAUUGGCCUGAGCAAAUUUGGUGCCGGUGGAACGAAAGCCUUCGGAGGAGUUAGCGAAAUUCCAAUGUGUGCGUAUCGGCAAAAAAUGCGAAAUAGCCCUUUAACCGUACAUUUGACAGAUACGC
Molecule: non-coding RNA, 1289 nt
Organism: Xyrichtys novacula (pearly razorfish)
Lineage: Eukaryota; Metazoa; Chordata; Actinopteri; Labriformes; Labridae
Source: the annotation of a GenBank genome assembly